UACAGAGGGUGCGAGCGUUAAUCGGAAUUACUGGGCGUAAAGCGCGCGUAGGCGGCUUUUCAAGUCGAUUGUGAAAUCCCCGGGCUUAACCUGGGAACUGCAGUCGAGACUGUCUAGCUAGAGUAUGGGAGAGGGAAGUGGAAUUUCAGGUGUAGCGGUGAAAUGCGUAGAUAUACGGAGGAACACCAGAGGCGAAGGCGGAUCGCUGGGCCAACACUGACGCUGAGACGCGAAAGCUAGGGUAGCAAACGGG
Molecule: ribosomal RNA, 253 nt
Filed under: uncultured bacterium
Lineage: Bacteria
Description: partial 16S ribosomal RNA
Rfam family: Bacterial small subunit ribosomal RNA
Source: RNAcentral